AGUAGGGAAUCUUGGACAAUGGGCGAAAGCCUGAUCCAGCCAUGCCGCGUGGGGGAUGAAGGCCUUCGGGUCGUAAACCCCUUUUCUGGGGGACGAACGAGCAGAGGAGGAAAUGCCUUUGCUGUGACGGUACCCCAGGAAUAAGCAACGGCUAACUCCGUGCCAGCAGCCGCGGUAAUACGGAGGUUGCAAGCGUUGUUCGGAAUUACUGGGCGUAAAGGGAGCGCAGGCGGUCGGGUGUGUCUGAAGUGAAAGCCCGUGGCUUAACCACGGAAGUGCUUUGGAUACUGCCCGGCUUGAGUACGCGAGAGGAGAGCGGAAUUCCAGGUGUAGCGGUGAAAUGCGUAGAUAUCUGGAGGAACACCGGUGGCGAAAGCGGCUCUCUGGCGCGUUACUGACGCUCAGGCUCGAAAGCGUGGGGAGCAAACAGGAUUAGAUACCCUGGUAGUCCACGCCGUAAACGUUGUGCGCUAGGUGU
Molecule: ribosomal RNA, 478 nt
Filed under: uncultured bacterium
Lineage: Bacteria
Description: bacterial SSU rRNA
Rfam family: Bacterial small subunit ribosomal RNA
Source: RNAcentral